UGAAAAAAUGUGAAAAUCAUAUAAAAUGGCGAAUCUGCGAAGAAGCUCAUAUGACCGAAAACGAAUCAGAGUAGCUUCACAAAGAUUUUGCAAGAGUCAGUUAAUUACAUCUAUUGUCGAUAUUUGUCGAUCGAUUUAAUUGUACGAGGAUCGAGGACCAAUGUGAAAACGUUAACUUUAUUUGUGCGAACAAACUCGCGUGAAAGCAAGACUGGCACACGAGAGAGGAUGAUUCAUCGGAGUUUGCCUGUUGCAGACGGAUCGACCUCUUUCUUCCUUACAGCGGUGUGGUGUGGCUGAUGUACAGGCGCAUGUUUCCGACCCGUGCACAGGUAUCGUGCCCGGUGGUGUUGGUGCGCUCAACAACCUCUUUCCUUGCUACCGCAAACCGCAGGCGCAACCCAAUUUGUGCCCCCAAAAAAGAACCGGUAGAACCUGAGUGUCCCUUGUCUCGCCGCUGGACAUCGUCUGCACGAGACUGUUUUCGUACGAAAAAAAAAGGCAUUGAUCCACGCACAAUGAAAACCAACUCAUCCAGUGAAACCUAAAGGUCAACCUACGAAUACACGAUCAAGAACUAGCUGGAAAGGAAAUGAAACGCGAAGCUUUCUGUUUUGCCGGUGGCAGCCCUUACGGAGGUUCUCUCGAGAGGCGUGCCCGGCUCCCGAAAAGGAAGAGGAAGUGGCUCUGGGGCCGGGCUCGGACGAAAGGGAACGGCUUCCAUCGCUUCCACCAGACGGAACAUCGUUUUUGCGGGAACUGAGUUUGCCGACACACCAAUUUCUUCCCCUCUCCGCGCAUCCAUAGCGAAACGUGCAAUUAGAGAAUAUUGUCUGAAGCGAAUGGUGCUCGUUGCACAUGGCGUUGCAUUCACUAUCGUGCACGUGCACGAUGCACGAAGACCAGCCACAGAGUGGCAGGUUUCGCGUUUUUUGUCGGUCGAGACUGAGGGUAAAGGGAGACGUGGCGGAGGAACACGUGCGAACCACAUGCGUCUUCGCUCCGGGGGUCUCUACCCUCCGGUGUUUCAAACUUCUAGGCUUUUAAAAUGAAAUCU
This 1057-nucleotide unclassified non-coding RNA is filed under the name Bombus terrestris (buff-tailed bumblebee). RNAcentral describes it as "misc RNA ENSBTSG00005021799.1". The record is from RNAcentral. Lineage: Eukaryota; Metazoa; Arthropoda; Insecta; Hymenoptera; Apidae.